CUUCCUAAAGCCGUCCAGGCAAAUACAUUUGUAAUAUUUGUGUGCUUAACUAUGCAUGUCUUCUACAGGGUUCGCUGGCUGCUGUGACACUCAAUCAAAGCGCCUAGAGUGGGCUGGCCGUGACCAGAGUGGGCAUGAAGCAGAGCAAGUACCAAGGAGAGCGCUGGGUGAUCACCAGAAUUGGAAAUAGAACAGCCAUUUGGAGGAUCUGGGCAGGAAGCAGAGCACAGCUUUGGAGCCUUCUUUAGGGAAAUCGAGUUAUGGAUUUAUGGUCCCGGUCAAGCUCAGCCCAGCCCCAGCCAGGGGCGGGAUCGGCAGCAAGAGUUCUUUCUGGUGGUGGCGGCAGCAGCAGCAGCGACAGCGGUAGCAGCGGCAGAGGCAGCGGCAGCUUGGCCCUCUGACUCUCUUCGGUGACGGGUAUUCUUGGGUGGAUAAUACGGAUUACGUUGUUAUUGCUUAAGAAUACGCGUAGUCGAGGAGAGUACCAGCGGCAGGCGGGCAGCAGCCGCCCCUGCCAGCCCACCAGCUGGCCACUAAAAGCUCCCGGUUGCCAAGAAUCGUCCUUUUUGCUGGAUAUAGUCAUCCAAAGGCCAGCUGUGGAACUGUGUGAUGGACAGAUGGCCACAGAAACAAAAGUAUUCAAAGCUUUCUUGCUGAAUAAAGGAAGACAGAUUGGUUCUUGGAAUAGCUCAGAGUCAAAAUAAAAUUCUCAGUUUUACAAAGCUCUUGCUUACUUCUGCUGUGCUAUAUGUGACAGUUGUAUGGGGUUCUGCCACAGGCAGGCAUAUGCAGAUUACCUGUAAGUGUUUAUCAUUUUGGUGGAUCUAAGGGUGAGUCAUCACUGUGUGGUCACCAUACUUACAAAAACAAAAACGUAUGUUAUUACAUAGGAAAGACUGUUGUGUUUGAUCUGAUAGUCUAUCACAACUGGAUAUUAACUAGGAAAAUAUAUGGAAUAAGUAUUUUGUUUGUCAAGACAAGAAUGUUCCUUUUCACCAUAUCAUUUACAGGAAAAAACUAUUGUUUUUUGUUAAGUAUAAAUGAUACCUCUAAAUAAGUAUACCCAUUAAAUUCUUGAUUUCUCAAGUAGGCAAAAUAAAACAAUUGGAAAUGUAAAGGGAAAGAGAAAAAGAAGGAAGGAAGAACGAAGUAAAGGUUAUUAUUUUCUUCCCAUCUAUAUAUUGAUGCUGGAUUUCAGGUAAAACACUGGCCAUGUUGGCUGAGACAAAGGACACCUAAGACAAUAAGCUUUCUGCCCUCAGAAAGAUGUUUUAGGAUUUCACAUAAAUUUGCUCAGACCUGGAAUACUUGAAAAUGUGGAGAGGAUAGCCUUCAAUCCUCAAACCAGCUAAUUAAGGUGCCUCUGAGCAGCAUACAGUUUUAAGUUAACAGUAAUUAAUACAGCCAGCUUGGAACCUCGGGAAGCUAAAGCCAGCGAGUGCUUUUUGGUUCACUUGAGAGGAUACAGUUUGAUUGCUGGCGCCAGUAAACAGGUUGGGAAUUGUCAACAUUGUAAUUAGCAGCAAGUUCCUGGAUUCUCAGCCUGCCAGACUAGUGGGCUGGUGCCUAGAGCAGUUGCCCCAUGGGGGAGAGGGAAAAACAAAGGAAGGGAAUUUGAGCAACCUUGUCAUGCUCUGCCAGCAUAUGCCACUGGACCAAUGUUUUUCUUGGCAAAGGUCUAUUUUAAGACAUCUAGCAGUGGUUUCCACAAAAUAUGAAACUCACCAUAGCAACCAAAAUGGCAAGCAUCUCUAGGAACGUUCCCUUCACUGGAUAUCAGGUCAAACUGGGUCCAGAGCUACAUUGCUUUAUGUCCAGGAUCCUCUGGGCUGUGUGCACCAUGGCUAUUAACAGUCUGAUUAAAAGGGUUAAAAUCUGUUUUGGCAGCAAUCCUGAACUUGCCUGCCGAAAAGCCAUCAAAGACUAAGGUUAUACAAACCUUAUUAACCCUUCAUGCAGUACAAAUAAAAAGGAAAUGUCAACUUUAAUACCACCGAGAAUCCAAUCUUCUGUACUUAAGUGAUAAUUUAUGUGUCGUAUUCUUAAUUCAAUGCCAUGGGAUCACUGUGGAGAAGGCUGUUCACAUUUAAAAUUCAAGCAGCCUUUAGGUUGUUUCUAGGAUUGAAAGUACAUUCAUAAAGUUUAUAUGCAAUAUUAUGGGUAGGGUUUGGAAGUAGGAAAGGGAGAGAUGACACUAUCUUAUAAUCUCAAAAAAAUUUAAAGACUAAAAUAAAAAUCCCAUUAAGAAAAAAUCGAUUAGAUACAAUUGUACCUAAGUGAACAAUAAUAAUUAGAGAAGUUUUUGAAUUGUACGUUAUCUCUCUCUCUUUUUCUGCCCCAUCCUCUCUCUCUCUCUCUCUCUCUCUCUCUCUCUCUCUCUCUCUGUGUGAAAUUUCACCAGCUUCAUGGCAACAAAUCAUAUGUAACCUCUGACUAGUCACAGAACAUUCCCCCCUUGAGAAAAGGAAAGCAUGGUAAGAAAUACAUUUACUUUGUAGGUUAAUUUCACCUUUCGGUCUACAAAAGCACAAGGUUGCUUAACAGUGCUAAAAAUUUAUGCAUAAAUCUCCUUCCCCCACAAAUAAAUGCUUGAGGGUUGGGGAGGUAGCUCAGUCAGUGAAGUGUUUGCUUCAUCUUGAGGGGCAGUGACAGGGAGGGCUCUUAGAAGUAGAGCAAUUUUAUAAUCCCAGUUAUGGGGAGGCAGAAAUAGGCAGGUCUCUGUGGGCCUCUUGAGCAUUAACCUUGUCCACUUAGUGAGUUCCAGGCCAGCAAAAGACACUGUCUGUCAAAAAACAAGGUAAAUGAUAGCUGAGGAAGGACACUGACAGUUGAUACCCAGCCUCCACAUGCGUGGAUACUUGCACGCAUGAAAACGUGCACACACAAACACAUUCACAACCCAAAUGCUUAGAAUCCUAUUUAACAUAUUCUCAUUAUCCUCACUGUCACUCUACCUUCAUUAAAAUAUGUGAAGACAUCUUCAUGGAGAUAAACAAGAUGGAGAGAGACAAGCAAAAUAGCACUCUAAUGUAAAAAACAUAAAACAAACAAACAAACAAAAAGGUUCCUAAAUGGAUCAAUGUGCUAUAUUAAGCAGUUGCUCUGUGGUAAUUUUUCCAGGUGGAUUAUAAGAACUGCACACACACACACACACACACCAC
Long non-coding RNA from Mesocricetus auratus (golden hamster), 3161 nucleotides. RefSeq lists it as uncharacterized. NCBI's taxonomy places the organism in Eukaryota, Metazoa, Chordata, Mammalia, Rodentia, Cricetidae. The record is from RefSeq and is a predicted model, not a curated record. The transcript is spliced from 4 exons.